GCCCGCAUAGCUCAGUGGUAGAGCGCUUGACUUGUAAUCAAGAGGUGGGCGGUUCAAUCCCGCCUGUGGGCA
Molecule: transfer RNA, 72 nt
Organism: Coccidioides immitis H538.4
Lineage: Eukaryota; Fungi; Ascomycota; Eurotiomycetes; Onygenales; Onygenaceae
Rfam family: tRNA
About the family: Transfer RNA (tRNA) molecules are approximately 80 nucleotides in length.
Source: Rfam